RNAcentral lists this unclassified non-coding RNA (262 nucleotides) under plant metagenome. RNAcentral's name for it is "partial contains small subunit ribosomal RNA, internal transcribed spacer 1, and 5.8S ribosomal RNA". The stretch from base 1 to 53 matches the Rfam family "Eukaryotic small subunit ribosomal RNA", at positions 1778 to 1831 of the family's 1831-position model. The record is from RNAcentral.
GGAAGUAAAAGUGUAACAAGGUUUCCGUAGGUGAACCUGCGGAAGGAUCAUUAAAGAGUAAGGGUCUUCGGGCCCGAUCUCCAACCCUUUGUUUAACUACCAUGUUGCUUUGGCGGGCCCGUCUCACGACCGCCGGAAGUUUGGCUUCGACCAAACUUUUGGCCCGUGCCCGUCAGUGGCCCCUUCAAAUUCUUGAUCAAGUAUGAUGUCUUAGUUAAAAACUUAAUAGUUAAAACUUUCAACAACGGAUCUCUUGGUUCUG